This 1262-nucleotide ribosomal RNA is filed under the name metagenome. Its description in RNAcentral is "SSU rRNA". It matches the Rfam family "Eukaryotic small subunit ribosomal RNA", at positions 499 to 1792 of the family's 1831-position model. The record is from RNAcentral.
AGGCCGGUCAUCGGAAUGGGUACAAUUUAAACCCUUUAACGAGUAUCUAUGAGAGGGCAAGUCUGGUGCCAGCAGCCGCGGUAAUUCCAGCUCUCAAAGUGCAUAGAAUUAUUGCUGCGGUUAAAAAGCUCGUAGUUGGAUCUGUGCCAUAGGACGGGGUCCACCUUCGGGUGCGUACUCCGCUCCUAGGCUUUUUGCUGGUUUUCCCGUCGUAGCCUUCACUGGUUGCGGCGGGUGGCUGGCGAGUUUACUUUGAGAAAAUCAGAGUGCUCAAUACAGGCGUCUAGCUUGAAUGAUUGUGCAUGGAAUAAUAGAAAAGGAUUUCGGUCCUCUUUUAUUGGUUUUGUGGACUGAGAUAAUGGUUAACAGGGACAAACGGGGGCAUUCGUAUCGCUGCGUGAGAGGUGAAAUUCUUGGACCGUAGCGAGACGCCCUACUGCGAAAGCAUUUGCCAAGAAUGUCUUCAUUAAUCAAGAACGAAAGUCAGAGGUUCGAAGGCGAUCAGAUACCGCCCUAGUUCUGACCGUAAACGAUGCCAACUAGCGAUCCGCCGGUGGAUUUUUAGCCCUGGUGGGUAGCUUCCCGGAAACGAAAGUCUUCCGGUUCCGGGGGAAGUAUGGUUGCAAAGCUGAAACUUAAAGGAAUUGACGGAAGGGCACCACCAGGAGUGGAGCCUGCGGCUUAAUUUGACCCAACACGGGGAAACUCACCCGGCCCGGACACCGUAAGGAUUGACAGAUUGAUAGCUCUUUCAUGAUUCGGUGGUUGGUGGUGCAUGGCCGUUCUUAGUUCGUGGAUCGAUUUGUCUGGUUUAUUCCGAUAACGAGCGAGACUCUAGCCUACUAAAUAGUAACGAGAUUGCCAUUGUCUUAGUUGCUUCUUAGAGGGAUUUUCGGUGUUUAGCCGCACGAGAUUGAGCAAUAACAGGUCUGUGAUGCCCUUAGAUGUCCGGGGCUGCACGCGCGCUACACUGGCGAAAUCAGCGUGCUGUAUCCAUUCUCGAAAGAGAUUGGUAAACCCAUGAAAAUUUGCCGUGCUUGGGAUCGGAAAUUGCAAUUAUUUUCCGUGAACGAGGAAUUCCAAGUAAGUGCGAGUCAUCAACUCGCUCUGAUUACGUCCCUGCCCUUUGUACACACCGCCCGUCGCUGCCCGGGACUGAGCCAUUUCGAGAAGAUCAGGGACCGGUGGGCUGUGGCCUCUUCGGAGGUUCGGUCCGUUGGAAACUGAUUUGAUCGCAGUGGCUUGAACCGGGCAAAAGUCGU